RNAcentral lists this ribosomal RNA (465 nucleotides) under uncultured bacterium. RNAcentral describes it as "partial 16S ribosomal RNA". It matches the Rfam family "Bacterial small subunit ribosomal RNA", at positions 28 to 507 of the family's 1533-position model. The record is from RNAcentral.
GACGAACGCUGGCGGCGUGCUUGACACAUGCAAGUCGUACGGUAAGGCCCUGUCUGUGUUGCGCGAGUGGCUGACGGGUGGGUAACACGCGAGUAACCUGCCCACAACUUUGUUAUAACGCUAUGAAACUGGUUCUAAUACUUGAUAUGUACUCCUUCUUCAUGGUGGGGGGGGGAAAGCUCCGGCGGUUGUGGAUGGACUCACGGCCUAUCAGCUUGUUGGUGGGGGAGGGGCCUACCAAGGCGGUGACGGGUAGCCGGCCUGAGAGGGUGACCGGCCACAUUGGGACUGAGAUACGGCCCAGACUCCUACGGGAGGCAGCAGUGGGGAAUAUUGCACAAAGGGCGCAAGCCCGAUGCAGCAAAGCCGCGGGCGGGAUGACGGGCUUUGGGUUGGAAAACGCCUUCAGCAGGGACGAAGCUUUUUGUGACGGUACCUGCAGAAGAAGCACCGGCUAACUACGUG